AAAUUGAAGAGUUUGAUCAUGGCUCAGAUUGAACGCUGGCGGCAGGCCUAACACAUGCAAGUCGAGCGGUAGCACAGAGAGCUUGCUCUCGGGUGACGAGCGGCGGACGGGUGAGUAAUGUCUGGGAAACUGCCUGAUGGAGGGGGAUAACUACUGGAAACGGUAGCUAAUACCGCAUAAUGUCGCAAGACCAAAGUGGGGGACCUUCGGGCCUCAUGCCAUCAGAUGUGCCCAGAUGGGAUUAGCUAGUAGGUGGGGUAACGGCUCACCUAGGCGACGAUCCCUAGCUGGUCUGAGAGGAUGACCAGCCACACUGGAACUGAGACACGGUCCAGACUCCUACGGGAGGCAGCAGUGGGGAAUAUUGCACAAUGGGCGCAAGCCUGAUGCAGCCAUGCCGCGUGUAUGAAGAAGGCCUUCGGGUUGUAAAGUACUUUCAGCGGGGAGGAAGGCGAUAAGGUUAAUAACCUUGUCGAUUGACGUUACCCGCAGAAGAAGCACCGGCUAACUCCGUGCCAGCAGCCGCGGUAAUACGGAGGGUGCAAGCGUUAAUCGGAAUUACUGGGCGUAAAGCGCACGCAGGCGGUCUGUCAAGUCGGAUGUGAAAUCCCCGGGCUCAACCUGGGAACUGCAUUCGAAACUGGCAGGCUAGAGUCUUGUAGAGGGGGGUAGAAUUCCAGGUGUAGCGGUGAAAUGCGUAGAGAUCUGGAGGAAUACCGGUGGCGAAGGCGGCCCCCUGGACAAAGACUGACGCUCAGGUGCGAAAGCGUGGGGAGCAAACAGGAUUAGAUACCCUGGUAGUCCACGCCGUAAACGAUGUCGAUUUGGAGGUUGUGCCCUUGAGGCGUGGCUUCCGGAGCUAACGCGUUAAAUCGACCGCCUGGGGAGUACGGCCGCAAGGUUAAAACUCAAAUGAAUUGACGGGGGCCCGCACAAGCGGUGGAGCAUGUGGUUUAAUUCGAUGCAACGCGAAGAACCUUACCUGGUCUUGACAUCCACAGAACUUAGCAGAGAUGCUUUGGUGCCUUCGGGAACUGUGAGACAGGUGCUGCAUGGCUGUCGUCAGCUCGUGUUGUGAAAUGUUGGGUUAAGUCCCGCAACGAGCGCAACCCUUAUCCUUUGUUGCCAGCGGUUCGGCCGGGAACUCAAAGGAGACUGCCAGUGAUAAACUGGAGGAAGGUGGGGAUGACGUCAAGUCAUCAUGGCCCUUACGACCAGGGCUACACACGUGCUACAAUGGCGCAUACAAAGAGAAGCGACCUCGCGAGAGCAAGCGGACCUCAUAAAGUGCGUCGUAGUCCGGAUUGGAGUCUGCAACUCGACUCCAUGAAGUCGGAAUCGCUAGUAAUCGUAGAUCAGAAUGCUACGGUGAAUACGUUCCCGGGCCUUGUACACACCGCCCGUCACACCAUGGGAGUGGGUUGCAAAAGAAGUAGGUAGCUUAACCUUCGGGAGGGCGCUUACCACUUUGUGAUUCAUGACUGGGGUGAAGUCGUAACAAGGUAACCGUAGGGGAACCUGCGGUUGGAUCACCUCCUUACCUUAAAGAA
This 1550-nucleotide ribosomal RNA is filed under the name Klebsiella quasipneumoniae. Its description in RNAcentral is "16S ribosomal RNA". It matches the Rfam family "Bacterial small subunit ribosomal RNA". Lineage: Bacteria; Pseudomonadati; Pseudomonadota; Gammaproteobacteria; Enterobacterales; Enterobacteriaceae. The record is from RNAcentral.